This 300-nucleotide ribosomal RNA is filed under the name uncultured eukaryote. RNAcentral describes it as "partial large subunit ribosomal RNA". It matches the Rfam family "Eukaryotic large subunit ribosomal RNA", at positions 40 to 350 of the family's 3401-position model. The record is from RNAcentral.
AUAUAACUAGGCGGAGGAAAAGAAACUAACCAGGAUUCCCUCAGUAACUGCGAGUGAAGCGGGAAAAGCUCAGACUGAAAAUCUUCGGAAUUGUAGUCUGGAGAAGCAUGGUCAGCCGAUGAUGAUGGGUAAAGUCUUCUGGAAAGGAGCGCCUUGGAGGGUGAUAGCCCCGUUCAUACCUAUCAUUAGAAGCGUACGACCAGCUUUCUACGAGUCGUGUUGUUUGGGACUGCAGCACUAAGCGGGUGGUAAAUUCCAUCUAAAGCUAAAUAUUGGUGGGAGACCGAUAGCGCACAAGUA